RNAcentral lists this small nuclear RNA (20 nucleotides) under Arabidopsis thaliana (thale cress). Its description in RNAcentral is "snRNA_02579". Lineage: Eukaryota; Viridiplantae; Streptophyta; Magnoliopsida; Brassicales; Brassicaceae. The record is from RNAcentral.
GGACAUUGAACCUAACUUCU